RNAcentral lists this ribosomal RNA (1348 nucleotides) under metagenome. RNAcentral's name for it is "bacterial LSU rRNA". It matches the Rfam family "Bacterial large subunit ribosomal RNA", at positions 1564 to 2925 of the family's 2925-position model. The record is from RNAcentral.
CCUGUGCGAGCUGCUACAGCAGCGAAGUUGGUGAUGUCAUGCUUCCAAGAAAAGCCCUAUACCCGUUAAGGCAUCAUGGCCUGUACCCGAAACCGACACAGGUGGGGUGGUAGAGAAUACCGAGGGGCGCGAGGUAACUCUCUCUAAGGAACUCGGCAAAAUGGCCCCGUAACUUCGGGAGAAGGGGUGCCACCGCAAGGUGGUCGCAGUCAAGAGGCCCAGGCGACUGUUUACCAAAAACACAGGUCUCCGCUAAGUCGCAAGACGAUGUAUGGGGGCUGACGCCUGCCCAGUGCCGGAAGGUUAAGGAAGCUGGUCAGCGCAAGCGAAGCUAGCGACUGAAGCCCCGGUGAACGGCGGCCGUAACUAUAACGGUCCUAAGGUAGCGAAAUUCCUUGUCGGGUAAGUUCCGACCCGCACGAAAGGCGUAACGAUCUGGGCGCUGUCUCGGAGAGAGGCUCGGCGAAAUAGAAUUGUCUGUGAAGAUGCGACUACGUGCACCCGGACAGAAAGACCCUAUGAAGCUUUACUGUAGCUUGGUAUUGUGCCCGGGCUCGCAAUGCGCAGGAUAGGUGGGAGGCUUUGAUCAUCGGCUUGCGGGUCGAUGUGAGCCAACGGUGAGAUACCACUCUUUGCGAGCUAGGGUUCUAACGGCCACCCGUCAUCCGGGGGCCGGACAGUACCUGGUGGGCAGUUUGACUGGGGCGGUCGCCUCCUAAAAGGUAACGGAGGCGCGCAAAGGUUUGCUCAGGCUGGUUGGAAAUCAGCCGACGAGUGUAAAAGCAGAAGCAAGCUUGACUGUGAGACCAACAAGUCGAACAGGGAGGAAACUCGGCUUUAGUGAUCCGACGGUUCUGAGUGGAAGGGCCGUCGCUCAACGGAUAAAAGUUACUCUAGGAUAACAGGCUGAUCUCCCCCAAGAGUUCACAUCGACGGGGAGGUUUGGCACCUCGAUGUCGGCUCAUCGCAACCUGGGGCUGAAGUCGGUCCCAAGGGUUGGGCUGUUCGCCCAUUAAAGCGGUACGCGAGCUGGGUUCAGAACGUCGUGAGACAGUUCGGUCCAUAUCCGGUGCACGCGCAGGAAUAUUGAGAGGAUUUCUCCCUAGUACGAGAGGACCGGGAGGAACGCACCUCUGGUGUACCAGUUAUCGUGCCAACGGUAAACGCUGGGUAGCCAUGUGCGGAGUGGAUAACCGCUGAAAGCAUCUAAGUGGGAAGCCCACCUCAAGAUGAGUAUUCCCAUGGCGUAAGCCAGUAAGGUCACGGGAAGAACACCCGUUGAUAGGCUCUAUGUGGAAGCGCAGUAAUGCGUGAAGCAGAGGAGUACUAAUAGACCGAGGGCUUGACC